Molecule: non-coding RNA, 102 nt
Filed under: Proteiniclasticum ruminis
Lineage: Bacteria; Bacillati; Bacillota; Clostridia; Eubacteriales; Clostridiaceae
Description: Guanine sequence
Rfam family: Purine riboswitch aptamer
About the family: Riboswitches are metabolite binding domains within certain messenger RNAs that serve as precision sensors for their corresponding targets. Allosteric rearrangement of mRNA structure is mediated by ligand binding, and this results in modulation of gene expression. A class of riboswitches that selectively recognises guanine and becomes saturated at concentrations as low as 5 nM.
Source: Rfam by way of RNAcentral
UAAUCAAAAAAUUGAAUCCCCUGUAUAAUCUUGGAGAUAUGGUCCAUAAGUUUCUACCAGACCACCGUAAACGGUCUGACUACGGGAGUGCAUGCUGAUUCU